ACGAACGCUGGCGGCGUGCUUAACACAUGCAAGUCGAACGAGAAAGCCCUUCGGGGUGAGUAGAGUGGCGCACGGGUGAGUAAUAGAUAGGAACGUACCGACGAGAGGGGGAUAACCAAGGGAAACUUUGGCUAAUACCGCAUGAUAUCGAAAGAUUAAAGGGGGCGACUCUUCGGAGGCUCCUGCUUGUUGAGCGGCCUAUCUCCCAUUAGCUAGUUGGCAGGGUAAAAGCCUACCAAGGCAACGAUGGGUAGCUGGUCUGAGAGGAUGAUCAGCCACACUGGAACUGAGAUACGGUCCAGACUCCUACGGGAGGCAGCAGUGGGGAAUCUUGCACAAUGGGCGAAAGCCUGAUGCAGCAACGCCGCGUGAGUGAAGAAGGUCCUUGGAUUGUAAAGCUCUUUCGGCUAAGAAGAAGUGUUUUUUGGUUAAUAACCAGAGAAUGUGACGGUAUUAGAAGAAGAAGCACUGGCUAAUUCCGU
Molecule: ribosomal RNA, 482 nt
Filed under: uncultured bacterium
Lineage: Bacteria
Description: bacterial SSU rRNA
Rfam family: Bacterial small subunit ribosomal RNA
Source: RNAcentral